Molecule: long non-coding RNA, 151 nt
Organism: Bufo bufo (common toad)
Lineage: Eukaryota; Metazoa; Chordata; Amphibia; Anura; Bufonidae
Exons: 3
Source: RefSeq, a predicted model, not a curated record
UGUUGUUGCCGGGCAGAGUCUCCGCAGGGGAUGGUGUACACAGUUACAGCCCUCAUUCUGCAUAGGGGAAGAGAUGAUAGGAUUGCUGCACAGUUUAUGACACACAACCAUGGCACUUGCUCUCCUGAUGUACCACCACUCAUGAAAGACC